GACGAACGCUGGCGGCGUGCUUAACACAUGCAAGUCGAACGGAAAGGCCCUGCUUUUGUGGGGUGCUCGAGUGGCGAACGGGUGAGUAACACGUGAGUAACCUGCCCUUGACUUUGGGAUAACUUCAGGAAACUGGGGCUAAUACCGGAUAGGAGCUCCUGCUGCAUGGUGGGGGUUGGAAAGUUUCGGCGGUUGGGGAUGGACUCGCGGCUUAUCAGCUUGUUGGUGGGGUAGUGGCUUACCAAGGCUUUGACGGGUAGCCGGCAUGAGAGGGUGACCGGCGUCAAGGCGACUGAGAGACGGCCCAGAGGGCUAUGGUAGGCAGCAGUGGGGAAUAUGGCACAAUGGGCGCAAGCCUGAGGCAGCAACGCUGCGGGCGGGAUGACGGCCUUUUGGUUGUGAACCGCUUUCGCCUGUGACGAAGCGGGAGUGACGGUAAUGGGUAAAGAAGCACCGGCUAACUACGUG
RNAcentral lists this ribosomal RNA (468 nucleotides) under uncultured bacterium. RNAcentral describes it as "partial 16S ribosomal RNA". It matches the Rfam family "Bacterial small subunit ribosomal RNA", at positions 28 to 507 of the family's 1533-position model. The record is from RNAcentral.